CAUAAACAUUCGGACAUAUUUUUUGUGUGAAGUUUAGAGUAGGAAUCUCUCAAUCGAGAACGCCAAGGCAAUACUGUAUUUCAGAUGAAUUUCGAUUUAUGUCAAAAAUGGAUAUAAUAAUGGAUAUAAUGAUAAGAUUUGAUUCAGAACAAAAACAAAUCAAUUAGAUAAACGAAAUUCAAGAAACUGGGUAUGCAGUCUAGAGAUAACGCUUCCACUUCGUAUGCGAAAUAUCAUGAUGCUCGAACCUAUUAAAUUAAUCGCUUCCUAAUUCAUUCAACUCAAACCUUAUCUAAAACUUUAUGGAACACGUCCCGGGCUUUUAAGGUUUCCCCUUGUUUCUAAAAUAGAUCAGCUGGUCUUCAAUAGAUCAAAUAAAAUGUGCAUAAGAUUCAUGGCAAAUUGAACAUAAAAUCGCCUUAAAUUUGUUAGAAUUGUCUACCAGCACUUUGAAUGUUUGACUUGAUAAAACUUUUCGUGGGAGCUACAUUUCAAUUCGCUAAUAGAAUAAGGUUGUAAAUUAUUUAACUUUUACAUAUAUUAGGAAUUUAUGUUCAACUUAUUGAUUUAAUACAGAUGUUUAAAACUUCAAAAAAACACAUGGUUGAAAUAGAUUUCCUCAUCUUAUUGCAUCAGCGGAAAACCCCUCCCACUAAAAGGUUUUUUUUUUCCAACAGACAGGAAGUGUCGUUACAACUUUAUAACGUCUAUAACAUCACAUCCUUAAAGAAACCAACCGUCAUCAUCAUAUAUUCUUUGAUGGUUCCGAACCAAACAAUGCACAAAUAAGUACGCAAAACGGAACUAGUGAGAAAAGAGCCAAAAGUCUGCCAAAAGAGCAAAAUGAAAUACACCAGCAAAAUCGUCGUGUUUUUUUCCAGUUCGGAACCCGAAGACAACAAGUGUGGAGUACACAAUAAAGUGAACGGUUCCAAGAGAAAAGCAAUAAGCAACGAUAUCUUCCCUCUUUGAAAACUGGGUAGCAAACGAGAGAGUACGAAGGGAAAACCACACCUCCAAAAUCGUGGCGACGAGUAAUCGGAGUAUUUUCAUCAUCCUCGUACAGCAAAAAGCCAUUCCCAGGUCGUCUUACCCAUUGUGUGAGUUUGAGCAUGUCCUGAUCAUGGUGAAAAGGACUGCGAUGUUAAUUACUCCUUGAGAACUUCCGCUCAUCAAUCCUGGAGAGAUCGCGAGCAUGAUCUUUGGGAGAAUAUUCUCACCGUUUGGCAACAUAUAUAAACUCUGUUUUUAUACAGUUCAUUAGAAAAUAAAAGGUUGAAACAUAGUAGGA
Culex pipiens pallens (northern house mosquito) is the source of this 1291-nucleotide long non-coding RNA. RefSeq lists it as uncharacterized. NCBI's taxonomy places the organism in Eukaryota, Metazoa, Arthropoda, Insecta, Diptera, Culicidae. The transcript is spliced from 2 exons. The record is from RefSeq and is a predicted model, not a curated record.